RNAcentral lists this ribosomal RNA (497 nucleotides) under uncultured bacterium. Its description in RNAcentral is "partial 16S ribosomal RNA". It matches the Rfam family "Bacterial small subunit ribosomal RNA", at positions 28 to 507 of the family's 1533-position model. The record is from RNAcentral.
GACGAACGCUGGCGGCGUGCCUAAUACAUGCAAGUUGAGCGCUGAAGGCUGGUACUUGUACCAACUGGAUGAGCAGCGAAGGGGUGAGUAACGCGUGGGGAAUCUGCCUGUGAGUGGGGGACAACAUGGGGAAACGAAUGCUAAUACCGCAUAAGAACUUUAAACACGGGGGUGGAGGGUGAAAGAUGCAAUUGGGUGACGCAAUCGUGAUCCCUCGGUGUGUUAGGAAGGUGGUGAGGUAAAGGCUCACCAAGGGGGUGAUACAGAGCCGAAGUGAGGGGGUGGUCGGCCGCCUUGGGAGUGAGACACGGCCCAAUCUGCUUAGGGAAGCAGCCGGAGGGAAUCUUGGGCAAUGGGCGGGAGUCUGUGCGAGCAACGCCGCGUGAGUGAAGAAGGUUUUCGGGUCGUAAAACUCUGUUGGUAGGGAAGAAAGUUCGUGAGACUGGAACGCUCAGCCAGUGACGGUAACUGCUCAGAAAGGGACGGCUAACUACGUG